Molecule: non-coding RNA, 99 nt
Filed under: Bacillus sp. (in: firmicutes)
Lineage: Bacteria; Bacillati; Bacillota; Bacilli; Caryophanales; Bacillaceae
Also listed under: 1 other name
Description: Bacillus sp. TPP sequence
Rfam family: TPP riboswitch aptamer (THI element)
About the family: Vitamin B(1) in its active form thiamin pyrophosphate (TPP) is an essential coenzyme that is synthesised by coupling of pyrimidine and thiazole moieties in bacteria.
Source: RNAcentral
AGAAUCCACUAGGGGUGCCGUUUGGCUGAGACAAGGAAUCUUGAUCCCUUUGAACCUGAUCUGGCUUAUACCAGCGUAGGAAAGUGGUACGGCGUUGUC